RNAcentral lists this ribosomal RNA (253 nucleotides) under uncultured bacterium. RNAcentral describes it as "partial 16S ribosomal RNA". It matches the Rfam family "Bacterial small subunit ribosomal RNA", at positions 524 to 776 of the family's 1533-position model. The record is from RNAcentral.
UACGUAGGUGGCAAGCGUUGUCCGGAUUUACUGGGUGUAAAGGGCGUGCAGCCGGGCUGACAAGUCAGAUGUGAAAUCCCGCGGCUCAACCGCGGAACUGCAUUUGAAACUGUCAGUCUUGAGUACCGGAGAGGUCAUCGGAAUUCCUUGUGUAGCGGUGAAAUGCGUAGAUAUAAGGAAGAACACCAGUGGCGAAGGCGGCCUGCUGGACCGCGACUGACGUUGAGGCUCGAAAGCGUGGGGAGCAAACAGG